RNAcentral lists this ribosomal RNA (254 nucleotides) under uncultured bacterium. Its description in RNAcentral is "partial 16S ribosomal RNA". It matches the Rfam family "Bacterial small subunit ribosomal RNA", at positions 524 to 776 of the family's 1533-position model. The record is from RNAcentral.
CACGUAGGGGGCAAGCGUUGUCCGGAUUUAUUGGGCGUAAAGAGCUCGUAGGCGGUUCGGUAAGUCGGGUGUGAAACCUCCAGGCUCAACCUGGAGACGCCACCCGAUACUGCUGUGACUAGAGUCCGGUAGGGGAGCGUGGAAUUCCUGGUGUAGCGGUGAAAUGCGCAGAUAUCAGGAGGAACACCAGCGGCGAAGGCGGCGCUCUGGGCCGGAACUGACGCUGAGGAGCGAAAGCGUGGGGAGCAAACAGG